GGAGGAAAAGAAACCAACAGGGAUUGCCCUAGUAACGGCGAGUGAAGCGGCAACAGCUCAAAUUUGAAAUCUGGCCCUUUCAGGGUCCGAGUUGUAAUUUGCAGAGGGCGCUUUGGCGUUGGCAGCGGUCUAAGUUCUUUGGAACAGGACGUCACAGAGGGUGAGAAUCCCGUACGUGGUCGCUAGCCUUUGCCGUGUAAAGCCCCUUCGACGAGUCGAGUUGUUUGGGAAUGCAGCUCUAAAUGGGAGGUAAAUUUCUUCUAAAGCUAAAUACUGGCCAGAGACCGAUAGCGCACAAGUAGAGUGAUCGAAAGAUGAAAAGCACUUUGGAAAGAGAGUCAAAUAGCACGUGAAAUUGUUGAAAGGGAAGCGCUUGCAGCCAGACUUGCCUGUAGUUGCUUAUCCGGACUUUUGUCCGGUGCACUCUUCUGCGGGCAGGCCAGCAUCAGUUUGGGCGGUUGGAUAAAGGUCUCUGUCAUGUACCUCUCUUCGGGGAGGCCUUAUAGGGGAGACGUCAUGCAACCAGCCUGGACUGAGGUCCGCGCAUCUGCUAGGAUGCUGGCGUAAUGGCUGUAAGCGGCCCGUCUU
Molecule: ribosomal RNA, 588 nt
Filed under: Tintelnotia opuntiae
Lineage: Eukaryota; Fungi; Ascomycota; Dothideomycetes; Pleosporales; Phaeosphaeriaceae
Description: eukaryotic LSU rRNA
Rfam family: Eukaryotic large subunit ribosomal RNA
Source: RNAcentral